AAGUCGUAACAAGGUUUCCGUAGGUGAACCUGCGGAAGGAUCAUUACCGAGCGAGGGCGCUCCGACGCCGACCUCCCAACCCUCUUGUUCCGAACCCACACCUCUGUUGCCUCGGGGCGACCCGGCCGCCUCAGCGCCGGGGCCCCGGCGGACCACAACAACCCAAACCCUGCAUCUCUGCGUCGGAGUGAACAAGCGAAAAUCAAUCAAAACUUUUCAACAACGGAUUCUCUUGGUUUCUGGCAUCGAUGAAGAACGCAGCGAAAUGCGAUAAGUAAUGUGAAUUGCAGAAUUCAGUGAAUCAUCGAAUCUUUGAAACGCACAUUGCGCCCCCCUGGCAUUCCGGGGGGCAUGCCUGUUUCGAGCGUCAUUACACCACUCAAGCCUGGCUUGGCGUUGGGCGACGGGGCCCCGGCCCCGCGCCUCAAAUUCACCGGCUGGACGGACCGUAACCUCAGCGUUGUGGCACAACAAGCUCGCUGCGGGGGCGGCCCGGCCGCGCCGUCAAAAACACCCACUCAAGGUUGACCUCGGAUCAGGUAGGGAUACCCGCUGAAACUUAA
RNAcentral lists this ribosomal RNA (563 nucleotides) under uncultured fungus. RNAcentral describes it as "eukaryotic LSU rRNA". The stretch from base 212 to 370 matches the Rfam family "5.8S ribosomal RNA". Lineage: Eukaryota; Fungi. The record is from RNAcentral.